UGUUGGCUGCGAAAUUAAUUGGGAGAGAAAAAAAUUUUUGUUCGAUCAAACUGUCUUUCUUCGUAUUCUCCGACUCUCCUCAAUCUCUCCGUCGACUUCUUCUUCUCCGAUUUUCUGUUCUUCCGAUCUUCUUCGACUUCUCCGAUAUAUCUUCUUCUCCAUCGCCUUCUCCGUCACCACGAGCACUGUCUGCCAGAGCAUUUGCUUCUCCGUCGCCUUCUCUGUCGGUCGCCUUCUCCGUCGGAUCGUCCAUUGAACAACAGCCUGCUACUCCGGCGGAAUUAAGGUGAAUACGGAGUAUAGAACUUGGGUGAUCGCGCAUAGUCCGUACAGGUUGAAUAUGAUCCAGGUAAAGAGAUAUUGUACAGAGCAGUGUAAGUCUUCUUUUUCUCUUUGGCUUAAGCAGCAUCUCCAGAAUUUGCAGAAAGACCGAGUCUUUACCAUUACUUUGGACGAUCAUUUACUGUUAGCUAUGUGUGUUUUAACCAGUGAAAUUCUCCAACCAAACUACUGAUUUUGGACAAGGUUUAAAUGAGUUUUCUUUAACACCUAAGAAAGAAAAAGGAUUCUCAACAGUAGUCGUAGACAUAGAAGCUGAAGUAACGGAUGCAGACGACUUCGACCGAGCAAAAGUGAUUUUGUAGAGACAACAAACUUGUGCAAAGAGGUCGUUUUGGGAUAUAGAAGUAAUAUAUAGAAAUGCACAUCUAUAUGUAUAUAUAUAUAUAUAUCACAUUUUAUCUUUGUUAGGAAUGAUUGUUUGCUGUUUAAAGUAUAGUAGGCUCCCAUGUACGCCUGUUUUAUUCGUCUUAUAUAACUUAAUUCCCCCCUAAG
Molecule: long non-coding RNA, 834 nt
Organism: Eutrema salsugineum
Lineage: Eukaryota; Viridiplantae; Streptophyta; Magnoliopsida; Brassicales; Brassicaceae
Exons: 3
Source: RefSeq, a predicted model, not a curated record